GGUUGUAUCUGCGACACCAGCACUUUCAGAGGAGAAAACUGAAGAAUCAGUUAAGGCAGAAGAGACUCCUGUGGAAGAGGUGGCGGCCGCACCACCUACACCAGAGCCUGUUGCUGAGGAGCCAAAGGAAGCAGAAACUGCAGCUGUGCCCGAGGAAUCUGCGGCUCCAGAAGCUGAAGCCCCUGCUGAUCAGGAUGAGACCAAGGAGGUGGUAGAACAAGUUGAGGUUGAGACCAAGGAGGUGGUGGAAAAAACUGAUCAGGCUGUGGUGGAAGAACCAGCGGUAGAGAAGACAGAAGAGGUCCCAGAGGAGACUCCUGAUCAGGAAACAAACAGCCCAGUUGUGGAGGAAACCAAAGAAGCUACAGAACCAGCUGAGGAACCAGCACCAAAACCAGAACCAGCACCUGCAGAUGAAGCUCCAAAAGAAGAAGGUCCUGCUGCAGAAGAAGAAGAGAAACCAGCUGAAGCUAAAGUGAAAGUUGAGACAGAUGAGAAGGCUGAGUGAUGAGUCUAUGAGUGUAUGGCCGAGUGAAAUUAAAAGUUUGUGUGAUGAGGGGUCUGCUAGGUUGCAUGUCUAGUUAAAGGAGUAUUAAUUUUCUUAGUAUAAUGAGGAAGGUUGAGGUGGAUGGAGCUUGAAAUCAAGGUAUGGGGAUGAC
RNAcentral lists this long non-coding RNA (659 nucleotides) under Vitis vinifera (wine grape). RNAcentral describes it as "long non-coding RNA (VVIN_LNC003709)". Lineage: Eukaryota; Viridiplantae; Streptophyta; Magnoliopsida; Vitales; Vitaceae. The record is from RNAcentral.